This 578-nucleotide ribosomal RNA is filed under the name uncultured bacterium. Its description in RNAcentral is "bacterial SSU rRNA". It matches the Rfam family "Bacterial small subunit ribosomal RNA", at positions 99 to 692 of the family's 1533-position model. The record is from RNAcentral.
CGGACUGGUGAGUAACGCGUGAGGAACCUGCCUUUCAGAGGGGGACAACAGUUGGAAACGACUGCUAAUACCGCAUGAUACAUUUGGGCGGCAUCGCUUGAAUGUCAAAGAUUUUAUCGCUGAAAGAUGGCCUCGCGUCUGAUUAGCUAGUUGGCGGGGUAACGGCCCACCAAGGCGACGAUCAGUAGCCGGACUGAGAGGUUGACCGGCCACAUUGGGACUGAGAUACGGCCCAGACUCCUACGGGAGGCAGCAGUGGGGAAUAUUGGGCAAUGGACGCAAGUCUGACCCAGCAACGCCGCGUGAAGGAAGAAGGCUUUCGGGUUGUAAACUUCUUUUAAGAGGGAACAGAAGAAGAGGGUACCUCUUGAAUAAGCCACGGCUAACUACGUGCCAGCAGCCGCGGUAAUACGUAGGUGGCAAGCGUUGUCCGGAUUUACUGGGUGUAAAGGGCGUGUAGCCGGGGAGACAAGUCAGAUGUGAAAUCUGGAGGCUCAACCUCCAAACUGCAUUUGAAACUGUUUCUCUUGAGUAUCGGAGAGGUAAUCGGAAUUCCUAGUGUAGCGGUGAAAUGCGUA